RNAcentral lists this ribosomal RNA (200 nucleotides) under uncultured bacterium. Its description in RNAcentral is "partial 16S ribosomal RNA". It matches the Rfam family "Bacterial small subunit ribosomal RNA", at positions 524 to 723 of the family's 1533-position model. The record is from RNAcentral.
UACGGAGGGUGCAAGCGUUGUCCGGAUUUAUUGGGUUUAAAGGGUGCGUAGGCGGCCUAUUAAGUCAGUGUUUAAAGUCUGCAGCUUAACUGUAGGAAUGGCAUUGAUACUGAUAGGCUUGAGUAAAGUUGAGGUAGGCGGAAUUGAUGGUGUAGCGGUGAAAUGCAUAGAUAUCAUCAAGAACAUCGAUUGCGAAGGCA